Non-coding RNA from Cyanistes caeruleus (blue tit), 1470 nucleotides. The record is from RefSeq and is a predicted model, not a curated record. NCBI's taxonomy places the organism in Eukaryota, Metazoa, Chordata, Aves, Passeriformes, Paridae.
UUACAUUUAUUUAUUAUGCAUUUGAUCUCUAGUUCCACAGCGGGGCUCCCAGAGAUUGGUGUCCAGCUCCCAGAACCAUGUGAUUAUACAAGACUCUCCAUGAAAACACAUUUCUAGAUCAGAAAACUGCAGAGAAAAACUGAAGAAACAGACUCAAAAUCCAGAGGAAAGAAAGCUCCCAAGUUAAAUCUUUGUUUCCUAUUAUUAAUUGUAUUAUCUAAUUGUAUGAUUGAAUGUGUGAUCUUUGGAGGAUUACAGUAAAGCUAAACUAGGAAUGUCACGGUGGAACUAAGGAGAGGGGACAUCAGGAGAGCUGAGAUUAUGGUCAAGGCAGUAAUUCCAAAUCUAAGCCCCAAGGCAAGAAAUACUUUUGAUCUCAGCACUUCUCAGCUGCCUGUGAAAUUUCUUUGCUGACACAGUGUGAGGACUGAGGCAGGAGUGGGGCUGGGAGCUGCAAAAUACCAUGAAGGGCAGCAGAGGCCUGACCUUGAUAGGGGUGCUCCCUCAGAUUAAGAAGGAGCAGGGGAUGCCAGCCAGCGAGAUGUAUGAGCCUUCUGUCCAGGGAGCUGCCAGGGAGCUCCUCAGGGAUGUGCCUGGUGCACAGGGGGGCUGCUCUGUGUUGUGGGUAAGCCCUCUCCAGUAGGACUGUCUCCACUGCAUCGUGAAGCAACACAGCCACAGAGCUGGUUGUCAGCUCCUCUGAGAGGGAGUGGGCGAGGGGGACCCUCAGCCUGAUGGGGUUGCUGUGGUAUACCCAGGGCAAAGAGCACAGCUCAGUACUGGCCUUGGCAGUGGGGACUUUGGGGCUUUGUCCCUCUUCCUUAGGAAUCUCUGGUCUUUGUGAGACUGAUCUUAGAUCUUGGGUGGAUGAAUGGAGACCUUAACUUGCAUGUAAACAGGGAAGGGAAACAUGGAGUUACUUAUGUGAUCUUAAGGCACAGCUACACCCUGCACAAGUCCCUGCUUGUCCUCUAUGCCUGCUGCCCCUCAGUUCUCAUUCUGUCUUACAGGCUUCAUCAGACUCACUUGCUGUGAUCUGCUCCCAUGCAGUAACCGUGGGAACUCCAGACGUGUUCAAAGAUGACAUGUCACAAAGAUCAUAUUGCCCACACAUACAGGAACCCCCUACCAUGAACCAGUCAGCUGCAGAACUUGGGAGAGACUCAUCAUACUGAAAUUGGCAUUAGUGCCUCUCUAUGGACUAUCACACUAAAAAUAGAUCCAUCUCCUUUUUCCAUGUCUGAGCUGAAGUCUAAAUAAUUCCCAGAGCCUUAGUUUGAUGGAAAUCCUUUAGCAGGCACUGGGUGCUUACCUCUGCAAACCUUGCAGUUCUGCCAUGGUUAGUGUGAUUUGAAGGGAGAAGAGGAGAUAGUCCUGGCCUUAGCUGGAAAGCUGGGAUGUGGAUUUGAAUUUGUUCAUCACACCACGUGAGUCUGUGGUAAUGGGAAUAAAUUUCUGCCAUGUAUUAUA